RNAcentral lists this ribosomal RNA (465 nucleotides) under Vreelandella stevensii. Its description in RNAcentral is "partial 16S ribosomal RNA". It matches the Rfam family "Bacterial small subunit ribosomal RNA", at positions 338 to 795 of the family's 1533-position model. Lineage: Bacteria; Pseudomonadati; Pseudomonadota; Gammaproteobacteria; Oceanospirillales; Halomonadaceae. The record is from RNAcentral.
CCUACGGGUGGCAGCAGUGGGGAAUAUUGGACAAUGGGGGGAACCCUGAUCCAGCCAUGCCGCGUGUGUGAAGAAGGCCCUCGGGUUGUAAAGCACUUUCAGUGAGGAAGAACGCCUGGUGGUUAAUACCCAUCAGGAAAGACAUCACUCACAGAAGAAGCACCGGCUAACUCCGUGCCAGCAGCCGCGGUAAUACGGAGGGUGCGAGCGUUAAUCGGAAUUACUGGGCGUAAAGCGCGCGUAGGUGGCUUGAUAAGCCGGUUGUGAAAGCCCCGGGGUCAACCUGGGAACGGCAUCCGGAACUGUCAAGCUAGAGUGCAGGAGAGGAAGGUAGAAUUCCCGGUGUAGCGGUGAAAUGCGUAGAGAUCGGGAGGAAUACCAGUGGCGAAGGCGGCCUUCUGGACUGACACUGACACUGAGGUGCGAAAGCGUGGGUAGCAAACAGGAUUAGAUACCCCGGUAUUC